Molecule: ribosomal RNA, 1372 nt
Filed under: uncultured bacterium
Lineage: Bacteria
Description: bacterial SSU rRNA
Rfam family: Bacterial small subunit ribosomal RNA
Source: RNAcentral
GAUAAGCGCUGGCGGCGUGCCUAAUACAUGCAAGUCGAGCGAACGGACGAGAAGCUUGCUUCUCUGAUGUUAGCGGCGGACGGGUGAGUAACACGUGGAUAACCUACCUAUAAGACUGGGAUAACUUCGGGAAACCGGAGCUAAUACCGGAUAAUAUUUUGAACCGCAUGGUUCAAAAGUGAAAGACGGUCUUGCUGUCACUUAUAGAUGGAUCCGCGCUGCAUUAGCUAGUUGGUAAGGUAACGGCUUACCAAGGCAACGAUGCAUAGCCGACCUGAGAGGGUGAUCGGCCACACUGGAACUGAGACACGGUCCAGACUCCUACGGGAGGCAGCAGUAGGGAAUCUUCCGCAAUGGGCGAAAGCCUGACGGAGCAACGCCGCGUGAGUGAUGAAGGUCUUCGGAUCGUAAAACUCUGUUAUUAGGGAAGAACAUAUGUGUAAGUAACUGUGCACAUCUUGACGGUACCUAAUCAGAAAGCCACGGCUAACUACGUGCCAGCAGCCGCGGUAAUACGUAGGUGGCAAGUGUUAUCCGGAAUUAUUGGGCGUAAAGCGCGCGUAGGCGGUUUUUUAAGUCUGAUGUGAAAGCCCACGGCUCAACCGUGGAGGGUCAUUGGAAACUGGAAAACUUGAGUGCAGAAGAGGAAAGUGGAAUUCCAUGUGUAGCGGUGAAAUGCGCAGAGAUAUGGAGGAACACCAGUGGCGAAGGCGACUUUCUGGUCUGUAACUGACGCUGAUGUGCGAAAGCGUGGGGAUCAAACAGGAUUAGAUACCCUGGUAGUCCACGCCGUAAACGAUGAGUGCUAAGUGUUAGGGGGUUUCCGCCCCUUAGUGCUGCAGCUAACGCAUUAAGCACUCCGCCUGGGGAGUACGACCGCAAGGUUGAAACUCAAAGGAAUUGACGGGGACCCGCACAAGCGGUGGAGCAUGUGGUUUAAUUCGAAGCAACGCGAAGAACCUUACCAAAUCUUGACAUCCUUUGACAACUCUAGAGAUAGAGCCUUCCCCUUCGGGGGACAAAGUGACAGGUGGUGCAUGGUUGUCGUCAGCUCGUGUCGUGAGAUGUUGGGUUAAGUCCCGCAACGAGCGCAACCCUUAAGCUUAGUUGCCAUCAUUAAGUUGGGCACUCUAAGUUGACUGCCGGUGACAAACCGGAGGAAGGUGGGGAUGACGUCAAAUCAUCAUGCCCCUUAUGAUUUGGGCUACACACGUGCUACAAUGGACAAUACAAAGGGCAGCGAAACCGCGAGGUCAAGCAAAUCCCAUAAAGUUGUUCUCAGUUCGGAUUGUAGUCUGCAACUCGACUACAUGAAGCUGGAAUCGCUAGUAAUCGUAGAUCAGCAUGCUACGGUGAAUACGUUCCCGGGUCU